GACGAACGCUGGCGGCGUGCUUAACACAUGCAAGUCGAACGGAAAGGCCCUGCUUUUGUGGGGUUCUCGAGUGGCGAACGGGUGAGUAACACGUGAGUAACCUGCCCUUGACUUUGGGAUAACUUCAGGAAACUGGGGCUAAUACCGGAUAGGAGCUCCUGCUGCAUGGUGGGGGUUGGAAAGUUUCGGCGGUUGGGGAUGGACUCGCGGCUUAUCAGCUUGUUGGUGGGGUAGUGGCUUACCAAGGCUUUGACGGGUAGCCGGCCUGAGAGGGUGACCGGCCACAUUGGGACUGCGAUACGGCCCAGACUCCAACGGGAGGCAGCAGUGGGGAAUAUUGCACAAUGGGCGGAAGCCUGAUGCAGAAACGCCGCGUGCGGGAUGACGGCCUUCGGGUUGUAAACCGCUUUCGCCUGUGACGAAGCGUGAGUGACGGUAAUGGGUAAAGAAGCACCGGCUAACUACGUG
This 468-nucleotide ribosomal RNA is filed under the name uncultured bacterium. Its description in RNAcentral is "partial 16S ribosomal RNA". It matches the Rfam family "Bacterial small subunit ribosomal RNA", at positions 28 to 507 of the family's 1533-position model. The record is from RNAcentral.